AUUGAACGCUGGCGGCAUGCCUUACACAUGCAAGUCGAACGGUAACAGGUCUUCGGAUGCUGACGAGUGGCGAACGGGUGAGUAAUACAUCGGAACGUGCCUAGUAGUGGGGGAUAACUACUCGAAAGAGUGGCUAAUACCGCAUGAGAUCUACGGAUGAAAGCAGGGGAUCGCAAGACCUUGUGCUACUAGAGCGGCCGAUGGCAGAUUAGGUAGUUGGUGGGAUAAAAGCUUACCAAGCCGACGAUCUGUAGCUGGUCUGAGAGGACGAUCAGACACACGGGGACUGAGACACGGCCCAGACUCCUACGGGAGGCAGCAGUGGGGAAUUUUGGACAAUGGGCGCAAGCGUGAUUCAGCAAUGCCGCGUGCAGGAUGAAGGCGUUCGGGUUGUAAACUGCUUUUGUACGGAACGAAAAGCCCCGGGUUAAUACCCUGGGGUCAUGACGGUACCGUAAGAAUAAGCACCGGCUAACUACGUGCCAGCCGCCGCCGUAA
RNAcentral lists this ribosomal RNA (498 nucleotides) under uncultured bacterium. RNAcentral's name for it is "partial 16S ribosomal RNA". It matches the Rfam family "Bacterial small subunit ribosomal RNA", at positions 30 to 523 of the family's 1533-position model. The record is from RNAcentral.